RNAcentral lists this ribosomal RNA (439 nucleotides) under uncultured bacterium. RNAcentral describes it as "partial 16S ribosomal RNA". It matches the Rfam family "Bacterial small subunit ribosomal RNA", at positions 339 to 795 of the family's 1533-position model. The record is from RNAcentral.
CUACGGGGGGCUCCAGUGGGGAAUAUUGCACAAUGGAGGAAACUCUGAUGCAGCAACGCCGCGUGGAGGAUGACACUUUUCGGAGCGUAAACUCCUUUUAUAUAGGAAGAAGAUGACGGUACUAUAUGAAUAAGCGCCGGCUAACUCCGUGCCAGCAGCCGCGGUAAUACGGAGGGCGCAAGCGUUACUCGGAAUCACUGGGCGUAAAGAGCGUGUAGGCGGAUUAAAAAGUCAGAAGUGAAAUCCUAUAGCUUAACUAUAGAACUGCUUCUGAAACUCUUAAUCUAGAAUAUGGGAGAGGUAGAUGGAAUUUCUGGUGUAGGGGUAACAUCUGUAGAGAUCAGAAGGAAUACCGAUUGCGAAGGCGAUCUACUAGAACAUUAUUGACGCUGAGACGCGAAAGCGUGGGGAGCAAACAGGAUUAGAUACCCUCGUAGUC